GCCGGCUGUGCCUGAGCCAGUGUGGGCUUAAGUUCUUCACGGCCCCGGGGCCCUGGGAAGGUGGAGCCAGCUGCUUCUCCCCGAAUAACUGGGAGGUGAAACAAGAAGCCCUAUGACGCAGUUGAUCGAAAAUGACACAGACACAGAAAAGUCAGGACUCGGCCCCCUCCAGUGCCUCCACCUGCUGCCCACGGCCAGAGUGCAGAUGGGCCAAGUAAGGAGCAGAAAGCAAAAGGACUCGGCUGAAGUGUGCAGCCUCCAGCAGCUCUCCCAUCCUUCAUGAACUGGAUCCGGAAAGGAGACUCUCAGGAGGUUCUCUCUCGCCUGGCUCCACUGUGUACAUUUUGUGUGUGCGGGCAUGCAUGCGACAUUCUUCACCGGGCUGCAGCUGGGGCUCAGUCCUGGAUGAGCCCACCCCUACUUGCUCCUCCCUCACCCCCCCCCUCCUCCCUGCGCUGCCUCACCCCGGUGUCACAGGCCUACCCAGCCCCCAGCCCCUUGGUAGAGGCGGGGAGCAGAGGGAGGCUCAGACUGUGGCCCGAGGUUAUUUACAGGGUGGGGGUGGGGGAGGGAAGAGAAAUUCACUGCUUUGUUUAUCUUCGGAGUCUGGAAACUCGACAGAAUUCAUCCAUUUCCAAGGAAGCCUGCAUGUGCAGGCUUCCAAAACGAAAAAAUAAAAGGAGAUUCACUUCAAAAGAAACUAAGUGAAAAGCUGUUUUCUUUGUGAGCUGAUUUGUUUAUUAUUAUUGUAUUUUUUUAACAUGAGGUUUGCUGAAAGCAGGCAAAGGGAGUCUUUUUUUUCCCGUAUUUUUAUUACAUUUUUACUCUCAUCCUCUGUUGCCUUAUCAGUGAGGAGGGCAAAUAAUAUUUUAAGAGACUGAUAGAAGUAUGUUCUCACUCAUCUCACACGGCUAUGGGAAAUCGAGGUUCUGCGUAAACGUUUACAAUCACGUUUUCUGCUGAGGUUAUAGAGGACUGAGAGUCUUCCAUUCGUGUUUUAAUCCAAUUCACUCAAAUUGUCCCACUUUUACAAAUGAAAAACAGUGUGCUUCAGCCCAGCUCUUUACGACUAGUUUUUUUUAAAUAAUAAAAACAAUUUUAAUAUGCUGGAUGGUUGUCUG
Molecule: long non-coding RNA, 1121 nt
Filed under: Felis catus (domestic cat)
Lineage: Eukaryota; Metazoa; Chordata; Mammalia; Carnivora; Felidae
Description: lncRNA (ENSFCAG00000043291.2)
Source: RNAcentral